Molecule: ribosomal RNA, 253 nt
Filed under: uncultured bacterium
Lineage: Bacteria
Description: partial 16S ribosomal RNA
Rfam family: Bacterial small subunit ribosomal RNA
Source: RNAcentral
UACGAAGGGGGCUAGCGUUGUUCGGAAUUACUGGGCGUAAAGCGCGCGCAGGCGGCUAUCCAAGUCAGUGGUGAAAGCCCGGAGCUCAACUCCGGAACUGCCAUUGAAACUGUUUAGCUUGAGGAUGAGAGAGGUGAGUGGAAUUCCCAGUGUAGAGGUGAAAUUCGUAGAUAUUGGGAAGAACACCGGUGGCGAAGGCGGCCAUCUGGACCGGCACUGACGCUGAGGCGCGAAAGCCAGGGGAGCGAACGGG